Poecilia reticulata (guppy) is the source of this 407-nucleotide non-coding RNA. NCBI's taxonomy places the organism in Eukaryota, Metazoa, Chordata, Actinopteri, Cyprinodontiformes, Poeciliidae. The record is from RefSeq and is a predicted model, not a curated record.
CCGAUGGACAAGACAAAUGAUUUUGUUGAUUUUUCAUCCAGAAACCACUCGUCGCUGUCUUGUUCUAAGUUAUUUUUCCAUGUUAGAGUUACUGCCGCUUUUCAGCUUCCACAUGGAAACAAAUCCUCCGUUUGCAAUUUAUUCUGGAGGAAAGUUUGCACUGCAGUUUGACGGGUUCCCCGAAACGUCACACAUCUGUCAAAGCUCAGCCUAACUAUGAGACGCAGAGAGAGAAAUCGCUAACAGUGCCUGGCAGAAAUACUUCAUAUCCUGUGAUUUUGUCACAACCACAAACAUCGAGGUAUUAAAUUUGGAUUUCAUGUCAUAAACAUAAACCUGAAGAAUAAAUUAAACAUUCUUUUUGUUUUUUCACUAAUAAAAAUGUCUUCUUUUCCCCUGAGAUAAUA